This 352-nucleotide unclassified non-coding RNA is filed under the name soil metagenome. RNAcentral describes it as "partial contains 5.8S ribosomal RNA, internal transcribed spacer 2, and large subunit ribosomal RNA". The stretch from base 1 to 120 matches the Rfam family "5.8S ribosomal RNA", at positions 35 to 154 of the family's 154-position model. The record is from RNAcentral.
GAUGAAGAACGUAGCGAAAUGCGAUAAGUAAUGUGAAUUGCAGAAUUCAGUGAAUCAUCGAAUCUUUGAACGCACAUUGCGCCCGCCAGUAUUCUGGCGGGCAUGCCUGUUCGAGCGUCAUUUCAACCCUCAGGCCCCCAGUGCCUGGUGUUGGGGAUCGGCCCAGCCUUCCUGUAAGGCCGCCGGCCCCGAAAUCUAGUGGCGGUCUCGCUGUAGUCCUCCUCUGCGUAGUAGCACAACCUCGCAGUUGGAACGCGGCGGUGGCCAUGCCGUUAAACACCCCACUUCUGAAAGUUGACCUCGGAUCAGGUAGGAACACCCGCUGAACUUAAGCAUAUCAAUAAGCGGAGGA